UAAAGAGGAAUUCGGUAUCAGAAGAAGGUUCUCAACCUUUUGAGGCAAAGAAAUAAAAAACAGUGGCGGUUGAGAGCUCCGGCACGGCGGUUUUGGAAUUCCGGCGGUGGUUUCCGGUCAAGCUCGGUUCAGUUGAUUGAAAAGAACCUUGGGCCUGGAUUUAACUUUGAACUUGAAUUACUUGUUGGUGUGAAUGAAAAUUUACCACAGUAACUUCACUUUGUACCAUUAUUUUCUUGAAUGCUUGUGUAUGAUUUUGAUUGCAUCUUAAAUUCUCUUCUUCUUUGCAUAUGAUGAGCACCAUUGACAUGAAGAUGGAGAGAAAAGCCUUGGAGGGACUAUGGUGAACUCGAAGCCCAAACAUGAAGUUUGAAAGAAAAUGGUGGACUUAUGAAGUGACUUCAAUCUUGAUCACACAAAACUUUGAAUUCUUGUAAAAUAAAAUGUAGAAAUUUGAAUUCUUGCAACCAUAAUGAUGAAAUCUUGGAUUGUCAUGAAUUAGAUCUUUGUAUGAAAUAAAGACUUUUGCUUUGAAUUUUGUAAUCUUUGAUGUAUCGUUGGCUUGAAACUUUAGGAAUUUAAUUCCUCUUGAAUGAAUGUACCUUUAAAGUUCAUGUAAAACAAAUCUUGGAUCAUGAGUGCUAAUUUUGCAUUUUGAA
Molecule: long non-coding RNA, 659 nt
Organism: Vicia villosa (hairy vetch)
Lineage: Eukaryota; Viridiplantae; Streptophyta; Magnoliopsida; Fabales; Fabaceae
Exons: 2
Source: RefSeq, a predicted model, not a curated record